AUCAGAUUAACGUGGUUAUAUGUUCAUAGUGCUCUUAUUUUAGUUGUAUUUUCGUCCAAAAUACGAAUUAUUCCAUAAUUUCAUGAUUCAUCCUAAGCAGUUAUAAAGUUAGCAUAAACAAUGCUCUAUCUUCACUUGACUUAAGUUAAACUUAGCGCGUGCAGGAGUGUUUUAAUAACAGUGUUACAAUCGGUUGAUUUAAAAAAGUACUGUUCAUUGUAACAAUCUGCACAAUUAAUGAAAGUUAAUACUUAUAGUAAACCAUAUUCCUACCUAUGCUGUGAGACGCCGUUGAGUCAACAGUCAACUUUUAAAAAUGUCCCGCCCUUUAUUACCACUUCCUGUCUGUUGGAAUUUCCGGUUUGAGUUUAACGACGAAUAAAAUUAGAUAGAAAGAAAUUAGAUAGACCCUUAAUUAUAAAUGAACGCUAAAUACAUAAUCAUUUUUUUCUUUAUUGUUUAAAAUGCUAAAACAAAUAACAAAAAUGGAUUCAUUUCUAACUGAAGAAUUUCAAUGCGCAUGCGCGGAGGCGGCUAAAUUCAAAAUAUGUAAGCGUUACCCGUGAGGCUCUACGUUAGCCUGUUAGCUGAUGCGCGCUUAGCCUUACGAAAGGGAUGAAUGUCUUUUUACUGCUGUCUCUACUUAGUUAUUGCUUUAAAACGCAUACGGUGUAACAGGACGACACACCGCAAAAGUAAAAGGGAAAGAUGGAGCCCCAAGACUCUGACAAGCACAAGUAAAUUCAAAAUCUUUCAUUAAAUGCUUUAAAAUUUGCACCUUAUUUUUCCUCCCAUAAUCCUUUCUAAAAGUAUACUGAACUUGUGUUUUAACUGAAUUUUGUUUCAGUGAAGGCAGUGGUUUCAGAAAGCGAAGCAUUUCCUCUGUGAGUGUUGAUAAAAACGUGAUUAUAAUAAUGUAUUUGUUUACAAAUGUGGACAUUUUUGUGACUUUUGUCGUUCAGGAGAUUUCCAACAUGCUGUGUGUUUUAAUGCUUUUUUAUUUUAUUUGACAGAUUUUAAAAGCGCCAAGGAAAUCCAUCCUCUUACGCGACUUGGAACAACAGGAAAAUGAGGUGAAGGAUUAACAUAGAUUUUGGUCAGAGACCCACUCUGAUGAAAUGGUGUUUCUUCUUGUUUCAUUUUUCUGAUUAUGGAGGACAAAUAUAAAGAAAAUCAAGCUUAAAAUCGUUUUUAUUUAUUCAAAUCAUUGUGAAUCAGAAAAAAAUGAAGUUUAAUAGUUUAAAAAAGGUUGUAUUAUUUGUUACAAAUAAAAUACACUUGUCCUGCCACAAGCUUCCUGCUCUGCUUCAUUCUGAUUCAUUUACACGUAGACAAAUAGAUCCAUGAAAGUCUGAGCUGGAAUCUGGAUCUAAACUGUACGGAUGAAUAGGGUUGCUUUAUGCCAGCAGUCCAUCACACAACUUAGACACAAAUGUCUUCUUCACUGAGUGUGAAUGAAUAAUGGAUACACAUUGUAAUACUGCAUCUGGAACAGCGCAGGUUAAAUCCAAUCCUUCAUUUUUAUUAUUAUUAUAAUCAUGAUUAAAAUAGAUCAGAAGAUGAUCGGAGUGGGACUUGGCCUGAUCUCAUCAUAAUGAUUUUAAUCUUCAUUAAGGUGGAAAGCUCCAAACCGGUCGAGAAGAGAAAUUCCAGGAGAGUCAGUUUUGCUCCUGCUAAUGACGUUCUGCUGUUUGCCAAGUAAGUUUUCCACACAGACUGUAAAUGAGAACUGGACUGAGUGACCCCCCCCCCCUGGUUUCUCAUCAAACAUUUAGAAUAUUUGACCCAGUUCACGUAGCCCUCUUCAAGUGUUAGAGGUGUGGACAUCCAACAAGCUCAUUCCUGAUUGAUUAGUUUGGUUGCCAUAGAAGCGAUGGCUCACAGUGAUUCCUGCUGACUCCUCUGAAUUGUCUUCCUUUCGUUUAGGCUGGAAGUAAACCAUUUCCUAUGGGUGACGUCACACUCAGUCCAGUUCUCAUAGUCUAAAAGUAAAGUCAUAGUAAAAAAACAACAACAGUUUUUUGAAUAGUAACUAUUUUA
This 2040-nucleotide long non-coding RNA is filed under the name Oryzias sinensis (Chinese medaka). RNAcentral's name for it is "lncRNA (ENSOSIG00000005307.1)". The record is from RNAcentral. Lineage: Eukaryota; Metazoa; Chordata; Actinopteri; Beloniformes; Adrianichthyidae.